GCAAGUCGAACGCGAAAGCCCUUCGGGGUGAGUAGAGUGGCGGACGGGUGAGUAACGCGUAGGAAUCUACCCAUGUAGUGGGGGACAACUCGGGGAAACCCGAGCUAAUACCGCAUACGCCCUACGGGGGAAAGGGGGCCUCUUCUUGAAAGCUCCCGCUAUUGGAUGAGCCUGCGUCGGAUUAGCUAGUUGGUGGGGUAAAGGCCUACCAAGGCGACGAUCCGUAGCUGGUCUGAGAGGACGAUC
Molecule: ribosomal RNA, 246 nt
Filed under: uncultured bacterium
Lineage: Bacteria
Description: partial 16S ribosomal RNA
Rfam family: Bacterial small subunit ribosomal RNA
Source: RNAcentral